AGCGUGGGGAGCAAACAGGAUUAGAUACCCUGGUAGUCCACGCUGUAAACGAUGUCGACUUGGAGGUUGUGCCCUUGAGGUGUGGCUUCCGGAGCUAACGCGUUAAGUCGACCGCCUGGGGAGUACGACCGCAAGGUUAAAACUCAAAUGAAUUGACGGGGGCCCGCACAAGCGGUGGAGCAUGUGGUUUAAUUCGAUGCAACGCGAAGAACCUUACCUGGUCUUGACAUCCACGGAAGUUUUCAGAGAUGAGAA
RNAcentral lists this ribosomal RNA (255 nucleotides) under Shigella flexneri. RNAcentral's name for it is "partial 16S ribosomal RNA". It matches the Rfam family "Bacterial small subunit ribosomal RNA", at positions 758 to 1012 of the family's 1533-position model. Lineage: Bacteria; Pseudomonadati; Pseudomonadota; Gammaproteobacteria; Enterobacterales; Enterobacteriaceae. The record is from RNAcentral.